This 441-nucleotide ribosomal RNA is filed under the name uncultured bacterium. Its description in RNAcentral is "partial 16S ribosomal RNA". It matches the Rfam family "Bacterial small subunit ribosomal RNA", at positions 338 to 795 of the family's 1533-position model. The record is from RNAcentral.
CCUACGGGGGGCAGCAGUGGGGAAUAUUGCACAAUGGGGGAAACCCUGAUGCAGCGACGCCGCGUGAGUGAAGAAGUAUUUCGGAUUGUAAACUUCUGUCGCGAGGGACGAAGAAUGACGGUACCUCGUAAGAAAGCCCCGGCUAACUACGUGCCAGCAGCCGCGGUAAUACGUAGGGGGCAAGCGUUGUCCGGAAUGACUGGGCGUAAAGGGAGUGUAGGCGGCUCAUCAAGUUAGAUGUGAAAUCCCGCGGCUUAACCGCGGAACUGCAUCUAAAACUGGUAAGCUGGAGUGCAGGAGAGGUGAGUGGAAUUCCUAGUGUAGCGGUGGAAUGCGUAGAUAUUAGGAGGAACACCAGAGGCGAAGGCGACUCACUGGACUGUAACUGACGCUGAGGCUCGAAAGCGUGGGGAGCAAACAGGAUUAGAUACCCCUGUAGUC